GGAAUAUUGCACAAUGGGCGCAAGCCUGAUGCAGCAACGCCGCGUGCGGGACGAAGGCCUUCGGGUCGUAAACCGCUUUUCUGGGGGAAGAGCAAGGACGGUACUUCAGGAAUAAGUCUCGGCUAACUACGUGCCAGCAGCCGCGGUAAAACGUAGGCGGCGAGCGUUAUCCGGAUUUACUGGGCGUAAAGCGCACGCAGGCGGCUCUGUUAGUCGGACGUGAAAGCUCUCGGCUUAACCGGGCGAGGCCGUUCGAUACUGCGAGGAUUGAGGUAGGGAGAGGAAAGCGGAAUUCCCGGUGUAGUGGUGGAAUGCGUAGAUAUCGGGAGGAACACCUGUGGCGAAAGCGGCAUUCUGGCCCUCACCUGACGCUGAGGUGCGAAAGCGUGGGCAGCAA
RNAcentral lists this ribosomal RNA (397 nucleotides) under uncultured bacterium. Its description in RNAcentral is "bacterial SSU rRNA". It matches the Rfam family "Bacterial small subunit ribosomal RNA", at positions 358 to 771 of the family's 1533-position model. The record is from RNAcentral.